UUGGGUCAAUAUUCGGACUUAUCCAGUUCCGACAGUUAUGAGCCCGGGUUAGCUACCUAUCACUAAUACUUAUAUCUAUAUCUUAUAUCUAUCUUGAUAUCUAUCCAUACCGACCUCCUUAUUGGCACAGAUAUCUAUUUGAUUAUAUCUACCUAUCCGAUUCUACCGACCUUCUUAUCGGCGAUAAUAUCGGCAUAUUCUAUAUUCUAUCAAUUCUAUAUCGAUCCUAUAUCUGCUUGAUCUAUAAUAUCAACUGAUUUGUUGAUUUCCUAUAUUGACAUUAUUCUAUCAAGAUGGCAACAGAAAUUAGUCCAUUCAAAUCAGCAAUUAUCUUGAAUACUUCUAAGAACUGAAACCUUUAGUACCAAUUGAUACUAUCACUUGCCUUACAAUUGAAUGUACUGAAGCUUGUUGAUGAUGAAGAACCUGAUUAAAUUGAGUAUCUAUCAAUGCCUACUUUCUCAGAUGUUUCUAAUAAGUAUACUCUAGAAGUGAAAAUUGCUUGGAAGAUGCAGCAAG
Molecule: small RNA, 519 nt
Filed under: Histoplasma capsulatum var. duboisii H88
Lineage: Eukaryota; Fungi; Ascomycota; Eurotiomycetes; Onygenales; Ajellomycetaceae
Description: Histoplasma capsulatum H88 hypothetical RNA
Source: RNAcentral